RNAcentral lists this ribosomal RNA (253 nucleotides) under uncultured bacterium. Its description in RNAcentral is "partial 16S ribosomal RNA". It matches the Rfam family "Bacterial small subunit ribosomal RNA", at positions 524 to 776 of the family's 1533-position model. The record is from RNAcentral.
UACGAGUUGUGCAAACGUUAUUCGGAAUCACUGGGCUUAAAGGGUGCGUAGGCGGCUACGAAAGUCAGGUGUGAAAUCCCUCGGCUCAACCGAGGAACUGCAUUUGAAACUGCGUGGCUAGAGGAAGACAGAGGUGAGCGGAACUGAUGGUGGAGCGGUGAAAUGCGUUGAUAUCAUCAGGAACACCGGUGGCGAAAGCGGCUCACUGGGUCUUAUCUGACGCUGAUGCACGAAAGCCAGGGGAGCAAACGGG